UAGAAAUAGAAUUGACAACUCUCGAUAAUUUUAAAAAAAUUACUCGAAAAUAUGCAAAUGGAUAUAACGGAAAAGAGUUAACGACUUCAAGGAAACUAAUCAUCAUUUUCACCAAGAUACCACCAGGAAGAGUGGACCUCCAUCCAUUCCCCAUAAAUGGCGCACCUUCUCGAGGAAACGAGUAUCCAGUUAACCGUUCUGGCAUUACGAACUUGUUACGUAGAGUUUUAUAAAUGCGAAUCAUCUUUGUUA
Molecule: long non-coding RNA, 252 nt
Filed under: Apis dorsata (giant honeybee)
Lineage: Eukaryota; Metazoa; Arthropoda; Insecta; Hymenoptera; Apidae
Description: uncharacterized LOC116185296, transcript variant X2
Source: RNAcentral